RNAcentral lists this long non-coding RNA (868 nucleotides) under Nannospalax galili (Upper Galilee mountains blind mole rat). RNAcentral describes it as "lncRNA (ENSNGAG00000024533.1)". Lineage: Eukaryota; Metazoa; Chordata; Mammalia; Rodentia; Spalacidae. The record is from RNAcentral.
AUGCUGUAUAUUGGAUUGGAAUAUGGUCUGACCAAUAACUCCAAAUUGGCUGAACGUUUCUUUGGCCAAGCUCUGAGCAUCGCACCAGAAGACCCCUUCGUCAUCCAUGAGGUUGGAGUCGUUGCAUUUCAGAAUGGAGAAUGGAAAACAGCAGAAAAAUGGUUUCUUGAUGCUUUGGAAAAAAUUAAAGCAAUUGGGAAUGAGGUAUUCUAUGUAAUAUCUAUACAUGUACACACAUGCACAUCCCUAAGCAUAUUUACUGUUGGAUGUGGAAAAUGCAGGCACAGUCUCUCACCUAAAAGAGAAUAAUAUUUGUCAUAACAAAUAACUUGAUCAGGUUACGAUGGUCACACAGUUGACUUUUAUCCCAUAGAAAAUCUGAGUUUAUUUCUGAUCAAAGAACAGGUAUUGGAUGUGACAUGGGGCAGCAGUGAGAACACAUAGGUGGUGGUUUGAAGCAGGGUUUCUGAUGAUUGAAGAUAUCUCAGUGUUUAAUGCAACAUUGCUUCCCUAGAGCUUCAAGAGCCUAGUCUUUGGCUCAAGAGUAUGUGUAGCUUGGCAGCAGAUACACUUCUGCAAGGCUGGGUGUCAUUCAAAUUCAGACCUUUUGUUGUUCCUGUGUCUAUCUAGGUCAUUGGACAUUUGAAACAUUUUCAUGAAUUUGUGUUAAUGAAUUUAUCCUCCAACUAGCAAGACUGUAUAUGCACUGGUAUUAUGUAUAAAUAGCAAUUUUCUAUAUAAACAAGUAUAAGUAAGGGAUCUGCAUGCGGCCACUCUUGAUUUCCAUUUCCUUCAGUUGGUACUUAUUUAGUCUUACUCUGUUCUGAGUUUCACACCCUGGUUUUUGUACAUUCGUGCUCACAGCUCC